Molecule: long non-coding RNA, 2109 nt
Organism: Quercus robur (English oak)
Lineage: Eukaryota; Viridiplantae; Streptophyta; Magnoliopsida; Fagales; Fagaceae
Exons: 5
Source: RefSeq, a predicted model, not a curated record
CUAUUCCCAAAAAAAAAUCUCUAAUAGUCUAGCUUUAGAGUUGAAGUUGACAGUUUUAGCAUUAUAUUUCUCUUGAACAGCUCAUUGCUAAGAAGUGAAUAAAAAGAAGAAAAGGAAGAAAAAAUAAAUAAUGGGAGGAUUAUUAGUAGAGGUUAAAAUGGACAUUUCAAUUAAGGAAAUAAUAGAGGCUACGAUUUUCGACAUAACAAGAUGCAGAAAAAGAAUAUAUGUGGCUGACCCUAAUCUUGUUGAGGAUCCUUAGCCGACCCCAAACAAUUUGGGACUAGGACUUUGUUUUGUUGUUACAUCUUGAACCCCUUCAUCAUGCUUGAUAGUUUACCAACAACAAUAUGGAAUCUUCAAAACCAAGAUUCAGAACAUUACCCGCUGGCAAAAAAAAAUUUAAAAGAAAAAAGAAAUUUGUAAAGAAAAUGGAUGAUCUUGCUAGUGACUAACAUGUCAUUUCCAUAGUGAAUAAUAGACGUUUAUGAAUCAGCAAUACUAAAUUGGAUAACAAAACAAAUGAUAUUUCUAGCUAGAACUAGUCAAGGAAGAAAUCGUAGGACUGAUUCUCUUCUUCUUUUUCUCUUUUUCUUUAUUUAUGGUUUGUAAAAUUUGAAAGGUGGUUUUGUAAGUCUUGGUUUUGUUGCAUCUAUUUCAUGUUCAUUCUAUGAUAUAUGUCAUUUAUAUUAAUAUUGUUUAUGUCAUUGCAUCCUUCGACAGCAUUUCAAAAAAAUUUAUCCGCCGGUGAUACAUAGCAUUUCUUUUGAUAUAAGAGCCAAUGGUGGCUUCUGAUUUGGUGCAGGAUUCUUGUCCAUUGUCAAGCAUAUUGAUACAACCCAAGUUUGGGGCCUAUUCUUCUUGUAGUGAUCUAAGCACUAGUUUUCAAUCAGCCAAAAUUUGACACCUAAACACGUACAUAGUUGAAGGCAUCAUAUUUUGAGGAUAUUUAAGCUAUGCCAGAGUGGUGGGUUAGCUUUUUUAUCUGCUCGGGAGCAGAAUUUUGGGGUACAAGAAUGCUAUUAUCUGGCAGCAAAAGAAGAGGUAUAAUUCCAUCUAAAUGACAUGCUGUUUGGUGCUAACCAAGUGAAAGCUUUGUAAGAGAGUUCAAGUGAAGUUAUUGCCAUGUGAUGCUCUCACUUUAAAAGAAAAGCUGGAUAUUUCUUAUUGCGCACAGUCCAGAUGGGUGUUUAACUUGAUGACGAUGUGAUUGGAGUUCAUACAAUUGAUUGGUUGGGCAGCCUUUUCUCUCUUUGACCGGUAAGAAAAAGCUUACGUAAAAACUGGAACCCUCUCUUCCGCUAUUGGUGGACUGUUGCAUUGUUGACAUUUCUGUCACCAGACCAAAUUGCAGUAGCUGUCCAUCCAUAAUUGCCCCAAGGAAAGAUGUGCUUGAGUUGACGCUAAUUGGUUCGACUACCGAGUGGAUAAAAGGGGAAGCUGUUUGAAGUUCACAUAUAUAUUGUUAAAACAAUAUGGGUUACUUUUGGCAGAAGAUAAAGUUCCCAAUAAAGAGGAGAAUGUUGAAAUUUGAAUAUGGGUUUUGCUUACUGCCCAAACAUAGAAUGGAUAGCUAAUGUAUUGCACUUGUUGAACAAGAUUCUAUGGUUGGUCCACAAUCCUUGGAUACUGAAGGAAUCCAUGGUCUCAUCUCGUAGUUCCUACUAGUUGGCACCAGAAUGCUGACAACCAACAAUAUGUAAUGUGAGGCUUAGCUUUUACGCCAUUUCCUAUCUAUAUACUAAGCAAUGGAUCCUUUUUACUAAACAGAAUUCGUAUUUAUUCAUCCACCUAUUGAAUCUUAUGUUGUUAUCAUGGCUUCAGCCAGUGACUUCAACAUUUUACUGUACAUUGAGCCUAGCUGUCCUACUUAAGAGGCCAACUUGUUUGCUGUCAUACAAAUGUUUGGAGGAUAUUUCCCUACAGUUAGUAGUUAAAGUAAUGGACGUAUUUCUAUUUAAGUUGACUUAUAUUUGUUAUCAAUUAGUAACAUAUGGUUUAGACAUUAAUUGUAUUACUAACAAAUAUGGCUUUAAAUUUCUAACAACUAAGUCAAUUAAGUUGACUUAUAUUUUACCCGUAACUAGCCAAAGAUGCAAUAGUUGAGAA